Molecule: ribosomal RNA, 803 nt
Filed under: uncultured Bacillota bacterium
Lineage: Bacteria; Bacillati; Bacillota
Description: bacterial SSU rRNA
Rfam family: Bacterial small subunit ribosomal RNA
Source: RNAcentral
GCUCCCCUCGGGGAGCAAGUAGAGUGGCGCACGGGUGAGUAACACGUAGGUAAUCUACCUUUGGAUGGGGAAUAACAACCGGAAACGGUUGCUAAUACCGCAUAAUGCAGCGGCACCUAAUGGUGACAGUUGUUAAAGCGGGGGAUCGCAAGACCUCGCGUCUAAAGAGGAGCCUGCGGCAGAUUAGCUAGUUGGUAAGGUAACGGCUUACCAAGGCGAUGAUCUGUAGCCGGCCUGAGAGGGCGGUCGGCCACACUGACACUGACAUACGGGUCAGACUCCUACGGGAGGCAGCAGUCGGGAAUUUUGGGCAAUGGGCGAAAGCCUGACCCAGCAACGCCGCGUGAAGGAUGAAAUCCCUCGGGAUGUAAACUUCGCAAGAACGGGAAGAAUAAGUAAGGGUUAAUAUCCCUUGCGAUGACGGUACUGUUUGUAAGCUCCGGCUAACUCCGUGCCAGCAGCCGCGGUAAUACGGGGGGAGCAAGCGUUGUUCGGAUUUACUGGGCGUAAAGGGCGCGUAGGCGGCCUCUGCAAGUCGACUGUGAAAUCUCCGGGCUUAACCCGGAAAGGUCAGCCGAUACUGCAGGGCUAGAGUGCAGAGGGGGCAACUGGAAUUCUCGGUGUAGCGGUGAAAUGCGUAGAUAUCGAGAGGAACACCUGCGGCGAAGGCGGGUUGCUGGGCUGACACUGACGCUGAGGCGCGAAAGCUAGGGGAGCGAACGGGAUUAGAUACCCCGGUAGUCCUAGCCUUAAACGAUGAAUGCUUGGUGUCUGGGGUUUUAUAGUCCCCGGGUGCCGUCGCU